GGGACGAAUAGCUCAGUAAAACUGCGAUGAUUUAGUCUGGCUGUGUAGAUAACUACGUGAAAAUGUAGCUAAGGGAAGGCAGAAUAAGACGCAGGACUAUCAGUUAGUUGGUAGUGUAAUGGACUACCAAGACAGUGACGGUUGACGGGAAAUUAGGGUUUUGUACCGGAGAGGGAGCCUGAGAGAUUGCUCCCACGUCCAAGGACGGCAGCAGGCGCGAAAAUUGCCCACUCUUUGCAGGAGGCAGUUAUGAGACGUGAAGAUGAGUAUCUUGUAAAGAGGGAUAGGAGAAUUGGAGGGCAAGUUUGGUGCCAGCAGCCGCGGUAAUACCGACUCCAAGAGUGUGUAUGAGAGAUGCUGCAGUUAAAAAGUCCGUAGUCAUAGAAGGGCAAAGAGAGAUGCGAGGUCUCACAGUGCGAUGAUGGAGGAGCCGAUGGGGAACAUAGUAUACCAGGGCGAGAGAUGAAAUGCCAAGACCCCUGGUGGACUGAGCGAGGCGAAGGCGAUGUUCUUGUAGGCAUUCGGUGAUCAAGGACGAAGGCUGGAGUAUCGAAAGUGAUUAGAUACCGCAGUAGUUCCAGCAGUAAAAGAUGCCGACAUGCUCAUUGGACACAGUGGGCAGGGAGAAAUCUUAGAGUUCGGGCUCUGGGGAUAGUAUGCUCGCAAGGGUGAAAAUUAAAGAAAUUGACGGAGCUACACCACAAGGAGUGGAUUGUGCGGCUU
This 723-nucleotide ribosomal RNA is filed under the name Vittaforma corneae. RNAcentral's name for it is "SSU rRNA". It matches the Rfam family "Microsporidia small subunit ribosomal RNA", at positions 76 to 825 of the family's 1311-position model. The record is from RNAcentral. Lineage: Eukaryota; Fungi; Microsporidia; Nosematidae.